AGCUACCUAAAACAGCACCACCUGCUAGUUGACUUCAAAACAUGAGCCUUCAAGACUCCAAAUAUUAUGAGAGACCUUUCUCAUUCAAAGCACUCUUGGAGCUUGAACUGGGCUUACUGUGGUCCUGGGCUGCAUAGGAAAGCAGGCUGAGCAAGACAUAGAGAGGAAGACAACAAGUACCACUCCAUGGCCUACUUCAGUUCCUGCUUUGAAUUACUGCCUUGACUUCUCAAGAUAAUGGACUACAAAUGGAUAUGGGAGGCUUGAGCAAAUACUAUGAAUCUCUCAAGGAGCUAUGGAUUACCUUAAAAGGCUAGACAACAGAGCCACGGCACAGGAAGUCUGCCCUGGAUGCUAUCCUGCUGGGAAUUGGCCCUCUGAAACAGAUCCAUCCACCCGAUGAGUCAUGACAUUAAAAAUGAUGAAGGAAAUGGACUGGUCCCCAGACAAACAGCUCGGGGCAAUACGAUUCCUGCAUCCAAAGGACUAUGGGUUACAGACACCUCUCUCUUCUGGGAUACAACGUGUAAAAGCCGGAUUGAGAUCUCUAUGCCUGUUCUUCAACUGCUGUGGCUACCACUAUUCCAAGAGACAGAAUAAGAAAGUUAAAGACAACAAGAAAUGGGUCUGUAAGGCCCGAAGUGAGUGGUGUGGCAAACGACUGGACUCACUCACAUGAAUAUAAGGCUAAUCCAUUCAGGAACAGACUAAGUCUCGUCCUGACCUACUUGUCGUUUUUCUGUAAAGACCACUCGAGGUUUUAUCAACUUGAUCAACAGUAAGAGAAAUGCCAAGAUUUCAGGCUGUGGACUGUGUUCCAGUGGCAAGCAGCAGAGAUCCAUGUUUAGCUUGUGUUUCCUUGUGAUUCAAGGGCCCAUGGCAUGUCUCUGGAUAAGCAGAUUGCCAUGGAUCGAGGUACUCGGCCCUGAGUGGAGAGAGUGAGGGAAUGAAGAACAGACAAACAGACAAACAGGCAGGCACAAGGAAAGCUGGGAUCAGAUUAUUAACACGGUGGCAGAAGGAGAAGCUAUAAAUAAAACAAGCUUUAUCCAAAUUAGGAAGAGCUAACAAAGACAACUCAGAAAGUGAAAGUGAACCAAGAAGAUUGCGUUGCUCUCAAGAAACGAUGUUAAUUAAAACUUUAGAAAGCAUGAUAA
RNAcentral lists this long non-coding RNA (1157 nucleotides) under Mus musculus (house mouse). Its description in RNAcentral is "RIKEN cDNA 1500015L24 gene". Lineage: Eukaryota; Metazoa; Chordata; Mammalia; Rodentia; Muridae. The record is from RNAcentral.